RNAcentral lists this ribosomal RNA (492 nucleotides) under uncultured bacterium. RNAcentral's name for it is "partial 16S ribosomal RNA". It matches the Rfam family "Bacterial small subunit ribosomal RNA", at positions 29 to 507 of the family's 1533-position model. The record is from RNAcentral.
AGUGAACGCUGGCGGUAGGCCUAACACAUGCAAGUCGAACGGCAGCACAGUAAGAGCUUGCUCUUACGGGUGGCGCGUGGCGGACGGGUGAGGAAUACAUCGGAAUCUACUUUUUCGUGGGGGAUAACGUAGGGAAACUUACGCUAAUACCGCAUACGACCUACGGGUGAAAGCAGGGGAUCUUCGGACCUUGCGCGAUUGAAUGAGCCGAUGUCGGAUUAGCUAGUUGGCGGGGUAAAGGCCCACCAAGGCGACGAUCCGUAGCUGGUCUGAGAGGAUGAUCAGCCACACUGGAACUGAGACACGGUCCAGACUCCUACGGGAGGCAGCAGUGGGGAAUAUUGGACAAUGGGCGCAAGCCUGAUCCAGCCAUACCGCGUGGGUGAAGAAGGCCUUCGGGUUGUAAAGCCCUUUUGUUGGGAAAGAAAGGCAGCAGGUUAAUACCCCGCUGUUCUGACGGUACCCAAAGAAUAAGCACCGGCUAACUUCGUG